RNAcentral lists this ribosomal RNA (490 nucleotides) under uncultured bacterium. Its description in RNAcentral is "partial 16S ribosomal RNA". It matches the Rfam family "Bacterial small subunit ribosomal RNA", at positions 30 to 507 of the family's 1533-position model. The record is from RNAcentral.
AUUGAACGCUGGCGGCAGGCCUAACACAUGCAAGUCGAACGGUAACAGGAAGCAGCUUGCUGCUUCGCUGACGAGUGGCGGACGGGUGAGUAAUGUCUGGGAAGCUGCCUGAUGGAGGGGGAUAACUACUGGAAACGGUAGCUAAUACCGCAUAAUGUCGCAAGACCAAAGAGGGGGACCUUCGGGCCUCUUGCCAUCGGAUGUGCCCAGAUGGGAUUAGCUUGUUGGUGGGGUAACGGCUCACCAAGGCGACGAUCCCUAGCUGGUCUGAGAGGAUGACCAGCCACACUGGAACUGAGACACGGUCCAGACUCCUACGGGAGGCAGCAGUGGGGAAUCUUGCCCCAUGGGCGCAAGCCUGAUGCCGCCAUGCCGCGUGUAUGAAGAAGGCCUUCGGGUUGUAAAGUACUUUCAGCGGGGAGGAAGGGAGUAAAGUUAAUACCUUUGCUCAUUGACGUUACCCGCAGAAGAAGCACCGGCUAACUCCGUG